GAUGAACGCUGACAGAAUGCUUAACACAUGCAAGUCAACUUGAAUUUGGGUUUUUAACUUAGAUUUGGGUGGCGGACGGGUGAGUAACGCGUAAAGAACUUGCCUCACAGCUAGGGACAACAUUUAGAAAUGAAUGCUAAUACCUGAUAUUAUGAUUUUAAGGCAUCUUAGAAUUAUGAAAGCUAUAAGCACUGUGAGAGAGCUUUGCGUCCCAUUAGCUAGUUGGAGAGGUAACAGCUCACCAAGGCGAUGAUGGGUAGCCGGCCUGAGAGGGUGAACGGCCACAAGGGGACUGAGACACGGCCCUUACUCCUACGGGAGGCAGCAGUGGGGAAUAUUGGACAAUGGACCGAGAGUCUGAUCCAGCAAUUCUGUGUGCACGAUGAAGUUUUUCGGAAUGUAAAGUGCUUUCAGUUGGGAAGAAAAAAAUGACGGUACCAACAGAAGAAGUGACGGCUAAAUACGUGCCAGCAGCCGCGGUAAUACGUAUGUCACGAGCGUUAUCCGGAUUUAUUGGGCGUAAAGCGCGUCUAGGUGGUUAUGUAAGUCUGAUGUGAAAAUGCAGGGCUCAACUCUGUAUUGCGUUGGAAACUGUAUAACUAGAGUACUGGAGAGGUAAGCGGAACUACAAGUGUAGAGGUGAAAUUCGUAGAUAUUUGUAGGAAUGCCGAUGGGGAAGCCAGCUUACUGGACAGAUACUGACGCUAAAGCGCGAAAGCGUGGGUAGCAAGCAGG
Molecule: ribosomal RNA, 735 nt
Filed under: uncultured Fusobacterium sp.
Lineage: Bacteria; Fusobacteriati; Fusobacteriota; Fusobacteriia; Fusobacteriales; Fusobacteriaceae
Description: bacterial SSU rRNA
Rfam family: Bacterial small subunit ribosomal RNA
Source: RNAcentral